AAAAUACAGGAUUCCCAGUUAAGUUUGGAUUUCAGAUAAGCCGGGAAUCAUCUUCCAGUGGGAACAUCUUCCAUGCAUCAUGCUGGGCAUUUUUACAUUAAAAUCCACAUCCACUGUCGAUCUAAAAUUCAAAUGUAACCAAGCAUCCUGGCAAAUCUGGGAGGGGCAUCCUGGUUGGACAAUGGCUCCCUGCUCCCCUGAAGCCCAGGUGAGUGUAUUUGCACCUAGAGCUCACCUGGCGCUCCAUCCAGCAUGGGCCGGAGCAUCUGGGAAGGAACUGCAGUUAUCCUCCUUGAAGCGGCUGCUCCUGCUGCUUGGAGAGAGUUCCCUCUGGCUUUUGUACCUUUAUUUGCUUGGAGUAGCAGCGUGGUGAAUGGAAAGUGCGCCACGUGAGCGCCAGCAUGCCUGGCUGUGACCCGGCACUGAUGGGACUCUCAGUGUGACCUCAGAUCAAAUAAUGCCCUGGUUCUGGGUAUGGUAAAUGCCUGUUCUGUGAUCCCCCAGGACCAGCAGAGGAUUGAAGCUGCUGACACUUCCUGCAUAAGGCGGCUGCCCUGAGCUGCUUGGUGUCUCGGCAGCAUGUCCCUCAGGGAAGGAAACACUAGCAUCGUCAUAUCCUCGAGCUUCUUGGUGGAGCAUUGAGGGCUGGGCUUUCUUGCUGCAGCUGUGUCUUAGUUUCUUGGUUUGCUUAUCUCUUUAAUAUUUUAUCGACGUGAUAUUCAUUGUAGUAAGGUGCAGGAUCUUCAGCGUGCACCUGGAUAAGGUUUUCAGGCGUGUGCUUGUGGACCAUGGGCAGGACAAGGCCGAGAACCCCCGCAGGUUCUAGUGCCUCUCCCUGGUCAGUGCAGCUCCUCAGGCGGUCACGGUUCUGGUUCCUGUGGGCAGAGAUUAGUGCCUGUCCUUGAAGUUCGUACAGAGGGCAUGGUACAGAGUGCGACCUGUGGGACCCGGCUUCUCUCACGUGCUCUGAUGUUCAGAUUCCUCCGGGUUGUCUUGCAUGCAACACUUUGAUCUUUCCUGUUCCAACAUGGUCAUCUACUGUGCAGAGACGCCCCCACACACUAAUCCCUUUCAUGGUCCAGGGACUAUCUCAGGGUCGCUUCCAGUUUGGGUACUUAACUUUUGGCGAGCGUGUGCAUUCAUUUCUCUUCCAUGUGCAAGAGUAGGUUGGCUGCGUCAUGGGGCAUCUCAGGUCUCAUUCUCUCCAGUCCCAGGUGGGUCAAAAGCUCAUAGCUGGGUGGAAAACUUGCAAAUAUGUUUGUUUUGAGAACGGGAAAAAGGAAAUAAGGAAGGAAGAAAGUUGAGCCCCAGCUCCUUCCACAGACCUUGCCACACACAGCUGUAAACCCAUGUUCCCCGGGGAUCUAGGGGAAGCACUUUUUUAACUUCAUUCAGGAAACAGAAGCCACCAAGCACCUUCAGCCCUGCACACUUGGUCACCUAUGAGCCAUGCACUUAUUGAAGUUUAAACAAAUGUCGUUUCAUAUAAAAAGAAAAAUUGUAAUUUCUUCUUCUAUAAAAUUUAUGUUUAGACCUUCGCGUUCUCCCCUGACACCAGGCUGGACGACAUUCCUCAAGUCUCACUUGCCCCAACUGUCGCAUCAGGGCACCUCACCUCUGAGAAAUAUAAAAAGACUUCACAAAUAAGCCUGUUUAUAAAGAGGAAGGUCAUCUGAGUCGUUUCCAAUCUGGCAGGAAAUAAAGUAACUUUAAAUUUAUGUGAAGGAAAAGUCUCAUCAGC
RNAcentral lists this long non-coding RNA (1741 nucleotides) under Marmota monax (woodchuck). The record is from RNAcentral. Lineage: Eukaryota; Metazoa; Chordata; Mammalia; Rodentia; Sciuridae.